RNAcentral lists this ribosomal RNA (489 nucleotides) under uncultured Formosa sp. RNAcentral describes it as "bacterial SSU rRNA". It matches the Rfam family "Bacterial small subunit ribosomal RNA", at positions 559 to 1050 of the family's 1533-position model. The record is from RNAcentral. Lineage: Bacteria; Pseudomonadati; Bacteroidota; Flavobacteriia; Flavobacteriales; Flavobacteriaceae.
UUUAAAGGGUCCGUAGGUGGAUAAUUAAGUCAGAGGUGAAAUCUUGCAGCUCAACUGUAAAAUUGCCUUUGAUACUGGCUAUCUUGAGUUAUUAUGAAGUAGUUAGAAUAUGUAGUGUAGCGGUGAAAUGCAUAGAUAUUACAUAGAAUACCAAUUGCGAAGGCAGAUUACUAAUAAUCAACUGACACUGAUGGACGAAAGCGUGGGUAGCGAACAGGAUUAGAUACCCUGGUAGUCCACGCCGUAAACGAUGAUUACUCGUUUUCGGCGAUAUACAGUCGGAGACUAAGCGAAAGUGAUAAGUAAUCCACCUGGGGAGUACGAUCGCAAGGUUGAAACUCAAAGGAAUUGACGGGGGCCCGCACAAGCGGUGGAGCAUGUGGUUUAAUUCGAAGCAACGCGCAGAACCUUACCAACCCUUGACAUCCUGUGCUAACUCCAGAGAUGGAGUGUCCACUUCGGUGGCGCAGUGACAGGUGCUGCAUGGCU